CGCGUAGGUGGUGGCUUAAGCGUGCGGUGAAAGCUCGGGGCUCAACUCCGAGUCGGCCGUGCGAACUGGGCUCACUGGAGCAUAGUAGAGGCAGGUGGAAUUCCGGGUGUAGCGGUGGAAUGCGUAGAGAUCCGGAAGAACACCGGUGGCGAAGGCGGCCUGCUGGGCUAUGGCUGACACUGAGGCGCGACAGCGUGGGGAGCAAACAGGAUUAGAUACCCUGGUAGUCCACGCCGUAAACGAUGGGCACUAGGUGCUUGGGGGAGCGACCCCCUGGGUGCCGGCGCUAACGCAUGAAGUGCCCCGCCUGGGGAGUACGGCCGCAAGGCUGAA
Molecule: ribosomal RNA, 333 nt
Filed under: uncultured Gemmatimonadota bacterium
Lineage: Bacteria; Pseudomonadati; Gemmatimonadota
Description: bacterial SSU rRNA
Rfam family: Bacterial small subunit ribosomal RNA
Source: RNAcentral